UUUUUUAUAAAAGUAAUUUAUUUAUUUAAAGUUUUAGUAUUAAGUAAAAAUUAAUUUAUAGAUUUAUAGUUUAAUAGUAUUGUAAAAGAAUUAAUUAAAUUUAAAAAAGAAUAUUUUUAGUACCUUUUGUAUCAGGGUUAAUUAAAAUUUUUAAUUUUUUUUUGAUUUCUCAAAAUUUAUAGAGUUAAUUUUAUUAUUAAUUUAUUGUUUUAUAAAUAUUUAUAAAAUAAUAUUAGUUUUGAAAUUUAAUUCGUUAUAUUAUAUUUAGUUAUUUAAGAUUUAAAUUUAAUUUAAAAUUUUAAAAGUUAUUUUGAUUUUAUAUAUUAAUAUUUUAGAUUUAAAUUAUUUUAGGGAUAAGCUUAAAAUUUUUAUAUAAUAAUUUAUUUAUUUUAAUAAUUAAUAGGAAUAGAAAUUUUUAUUUUAAGUUUGUAAAAAUUUAUUAUUUAUUUGAUUUUAAUUUAUUAUAAAUUUAUUUAUUUUUUUUAUUAAAUUUUAUUAAUUAAUAUUUAAUUUUUAGUAAUAAUGAUUAAAUUAGUAUAAUUUAUAUUUAUAAAUUAUGAAUUCGGCAAAAUUUAUUUUCAUCUGUUUAACAAAAACAUUGUAUUAAGUUUAAUUUAAUAUAGGAUCUGCUCAAUGAUUUAUUAAAUAGCUGCAGUAUUUUGACUGUGCAAAGGUAGCAUAAUAAUUAGUCUUUUAAUUGAGGACUUGUAUGAAAGAUUUGAUGAGAAAUAGACUUUAUUAUUUAUAUAAUUAAAAUUUUAUUUUUAAGUAAAAAAGCUUAAAUUAUUUAAAGGGACGAUAAGACCCUAUAAAACUUUAUAAAUAUAGAUUUUAAUUUUUUUUGGUUUAUAAAUAUUUUAAUUUUAUUAUUUAUUUUAUUGGGGUGAUAAAAAAAAUUAUUAAACCUUUUUUUAAAUUUAACAUUACUUAAUGGAUAUUUGAAUUAAAAUUUUUAAUUAUAGGAAAAAGUUACUUUAGGGAUAACAGCGUAAUUAAUUUUUUAAGUUCAAAUUUGAAAAUUAGUUUGCGACCUCGAUGUUGAAUUAAGAUUAAUCUUAGGUGCAAAAUUUUAAGUGUUAGGUCUG
RNAcentral lists this ribosomal RNA (1085 nucleotides) under Sitobion ibarae. RNAcentral's name for it is "partial 16S ribosomal RNA". Lineage: Eukaryota; Metazoa; Arthropoda; Insecta; Hemiptera; Aphididae. The record is from RNAcentral.